This 5058-nucleotide long non-coding RNA is filed under the name Sus scrofa (pig). RNAcentral describes it as "lncRNA (ENSSSCG00055014660.1)". Lineage: Eukaryota; Metazoa; Chordata; Mammalia; Artiodactyla; Suidae. The record is from RNAcentral.
GGAUUUUCUCGAAUCAAUCUUCUUAAUUUCUAGUUUAUUGCCUUUGUCCUCAGAGAGGUUGUGGGUGGUUCAAGCCUCUGAAAUGAGACUUAUUUUAUGGCUCAGCAUAUGGUCUGUCUGAAUGUUGUGUACUCUGAGGGUUUGGGGUUCAGAGUGGAGCGUUCCCUGGAGAGUGAAGGUCCAAGGUCCGGAGUCCUUGGGAGAGAAGAAUCUCCACUCUGCCUGAUGCCCGGAGGAGGGGAGAGGGGGCCGUCCCUGCAGGUGAGAAGGCACAGCCAGCCCCUGACUCCAGGAGCCAGACCCUAGGCCAGUUUGUCCUCCCUGUGGCCCGAGUGAGAACCGGCCUUGAACUCUACCCUGACCUCUGAGGCCAAGAGAAAAUGUCUAGGGAUUUGCUCCAGGGAGGGACGUGUCCCCAAGGAAGGGGAAGAGAGGAGCCGUGGUCCCUAAAUCCCACUCUCUCCAGCUGCGAGCAGCAGACCCUUAGCAGAGGCUCGCCCUUCCUGGCUGCUCAUCUAGGUGUGGAUUUUGAGAUUUGGCCUUGCCACUGCCCUCUGCAAAUUUGCAGAGAUGGGUGAAUGCGCAAACAUGCCUGGCCGGGCAGGGAGGAUGGCCGGGAGAGGAUGCGUGUAUCAGAAUGAAGUCAGUCUUGCUCUGUUCCCCACACCUCCCUCGUCUCCGUGCUUCCGCGCAUCUGCAGACAAAACAGGACUGUUUCCACAGGCAGGGGCAAGGUGGGACCACGCGGUGCUGUCAGCAAACCUACUAGAACCUUUAGGGAAUUAUUUCAUGAAGAACAAGGAACACUUGAAUUCCUAGGGCCUACUCAAUCCAGAACCAGAGAGCUUUGGAAUUCUUUCCUUUCUGCCUUUCUUUUUCUUUCUUUCUCUCUCUCUCUCUCUCUUUCUUUCUUUCUCUCUCUCUUUUCUUCCUUCCUUCUUCUUCUUUUUUUUUUUUUGCUUUUUUAGGGCUAUACCCACAGCAUAUGGAGGUUCCCAGGCUAGGGGUCGAAUCAGAGCUGCAGCUGCCACAGCCACAGCAACCCAGGACCCAAGCCACAUCUGCGACUUAUGCCACAGCUUGUGGCAUUCCCGGAUCCUUAACCCACUAAGCGAGGCCAGAGAUCGAACCCGUGUCCUCAUGGACACUACUCCCACUGUGGGAACUCCCUGGAACUCUUUUCUUUGUGUGUAUGCCACAGACCCUUCUGACAACAGGGAAGCUCUGGGUGCCUUCUCCGAAUAGUGAUUCUAAAAUGCAUAUAAUAGAACAUCCAGAUUACAAAGGAAAACAGUUACGUUGAACCCUGGUUCUCCCCUGGGGGAGGGGGACCUAGACUUUCAAGGAGCAAAGGAGGGAAACUCUGCAGACCGGGAAACAGUCUUUCCUGAGGCCAUAAUUCCAUGUUUCUGAAAUUGAUUACUUCCAAGGCAGGCCCAGUUGGAGGUUUUACUUUCAAAUAGGUUUGGGCAACUGCGUAGAAGACUGUCUUUGCCUGCCUUGGGCGAGCUCAUGGUUUCCAUUUGUUUUCUCACUAAACUGGGUGCCCAAACUUCUAGAAAACAGCCACAUGGGCUCAGCUGAAUUUUCUACUCUUUAAAUUUCCUUGGCUGUUUCCUGGGUGAGGGAAGAUGAUGAACUGGCCAGGGGGCCCAUGGGACAGUUAAAGGCUGACUUUGAUGAGGUGGUGGGGAGGCUUGGGGUUGGGGGAAUCAGAGAGUGUGGGGUUUUUUUUUGGGGGGGGGUCACUUGUUGCGACUCUAGUUGGGAGUUCAUUGGACAGAGUGCAGCCCAGGAGAGCAGGAUAACUCUUGAUGGGCAUGAAGAGAAGCCUGAGGUUCAGAGGAGACCCAUGCCAUACCCUGAGAGGUAGCAGAGGCUAUGGGUCCUAUGAGAUCAGGUGCCAGUUAUGGAGAAUCUACUGGCAGCCACUUUGCUUUUAUACCCUAUUGUCAUCACGGCGCUAGGUAGGACCUGGGGAUCUGCAUUGUAUCCAUGAGACAGCAGACCCUGAGCACAGCUAAUUCAAGGUCACUCUGCUCCAGCUAGAAGUAGUGGAGCUGAGAUCUGAUUCCACAGACUCCCAGGACCCCAGACCUUUGUUUCCAGUGCCAUAGGCCCCCUUUGGGCACAGAGGCCAUGGGUACGCCUCCUGGAAUCAGGUGACCUGGGUUCAAAUCCCAGCUCCACCCUCGAUGAGCUUGAUGACCUUGACCCCCAGGUUCUUCAUCUGUGAAAUGGAAUGAUUUUAUCACCUUUUUCAAGGACUCUUAGUGAUGAUGAAGGGAUGGUAUUUAAAGCGUCAGAGCCACCCACGCGCCUGACAGGUCUGUGUUCUACAAAUGUUGGCACUGCGGUUAUCAUCAGCCCAGCAGGACAGGGAGGCUGUUAGGGGGUCCCUGGCGUGUGAUGGCUCUUCUGUGCCCUCCUCCAGCUGUCCCAGCCGGCAGGCGUUCAUGAACUUGUUUUUCUGGUACGAAGGUUGCCCUGGUAUUCCGGAGUGACCCAGCAGGGCUGAGGUGGUUAUACAACGCUACGUGCCAGGCCAAGUUCAGCGCUUGCCUUGGCAGCCUGCUGAGCCAGUGCCGCUGUGGAGAGAGCCCCUGGCCUUCCGCCUGCUUUCCUGCUCUGGAAAAGCCUGACCCUUACUCAGAAUCAUCGUCCAGUCCCCAUGGCGCACAGUGGCCUCCCUCACCCACUCCUCCCCUUGAACGAACUUCUCUGGGGAGAUUCUGGGGACUCCCAUGUCCCCAGACAGAUGCUUCUCCUUCGUCUGUCUCUGUCCUACUAACUCUGCCCCCAGUGGUGAUUCGCAGACGUGAGUGGGGUAGAGUAAGGACACACAGGGGUUGGAAGACAAGGGCUGAGCAUCGAACAGCCUGUUUUUUUGUAGGUUUUUUUUUUUUUUACAUUUUCCAGUUUUAAUUUUUUAAUGGGUGUUCUUUUUAUUUUUAUUAAAAAAAUAUUUUUAGGGCCACACCUGUGGCAUAUGGACAUUCCCAGGCUAGGGGUCUAAUCAGAGCUGUAGCCACCAGCCUACACCACAACCUCAGCAACACCAGAUCUGAGCCGUGUCUGUGAUCUAUGCCACAGCUCUUGGCAACACCGGAUCCUUAACCCACUGAGCGAGGCCAGGGAUUGAACCUAAGUCCUCAUGGAUACUAGUUGGGUUUGUGACCCUCUGAGCCACAGUGGGAGCUCCUGAAACCAGCCUUUCACUCUUAGCCUAAGUCACUGGCCUUUGUUUAAUCUUUGCAUCAGAACACUUGGCUCCUAGGAAUCCCCAGGUCUCUGAACCUCACACCCUCCCCCAGGCAGGGGUCUCAGGCCUUCCUCUGGCCAGCGCAACUCACCUCCCCAGGGUCUCUGGUAACUUUUGGGCCGUAUGGUAAAUCCUUUGCUCUCCAUGCCGUCUUCUGUCCCGACUCUGGGACCUUGUUUUUUCUGCUUCUCGAUGUCCAGGCUGCUCCAUCUCUGCUGGUGGACAUGCUGCUCAGUCUUCCCCUUCCUGCCUUAAUUUCCUCCCACAGAGAGCUCUUAUUUCAGGAUCCAGGCCACAUAAAACCUUAAAAAGAGGGUGGCGGGCGAGCUGGAGCCCAAGGCCCGGCACAGAGGCCCUCAGGCAGCAGGGCUGAGCUGUCACUGGCCCUCCUGUUCCUGGGCCUCCCCUGGGUCGAGAUCUCUGAGGCCCUGGCGGGGGUGUGGGGUGUGGGGGUUGUAGACCCCUUAUGCUCCGGGAUGUCUGGAGCAUAGAUGAGACAGCCUGUGGGGGCUGCCCUGACCAUGGCUCCUCUUGGAUUUCUCACAGGCUGGUGAUUUGCUCUGCAGGUUUUCUUUCGUUCUUUCCUUCUUUCUUUUUUUUUAGGGCCGCACCCUCGGUAUAUGGACGUUCCCAGGCUAGGGGUUGAAUGGAGCUGCAGCUGCUGGCCUACACCACAGCUCACAGUAACUCAGGAUCCAAGCUGUGUCUGCGACCUAUGCCACAGCUCAUGGCAAUGCUGGAUCCUUAACCCGUUGAGUGAGGACAGGGAUCAAACCCGCAUCCUCAUGGAUACUAGUCAGUUCCAUUACCGCUGAGCCACAAUGGGAAUCCCCCCCCCCUUUUUAAAUGUUUGUUUGUUUGUUUAUUUUUAGGGCCACAGUCAUGGCAUAUGGAAGUUACCAGACUAGGGGUCGAAUAGGAGCUGCAGCUGCCAGCCACAGCAACACCAGAUCUGAGUUGCCUCUGUGACCUACACUACAGCUCACGGCAACACCAGAUCCUUAACCCACUGAGCAAGGCCAGGGAUUGAACCUGCGUAGUUUGGUUGUUGCUGCUGAGCCACAAUGGGAACUCCCUGCUGUGUUUCUUCUAAACCAGGAAUCAGCAAACUAUGGCUCGCACGCCAAGUCUGGCUCAUCACUUGAUUUUGCCAAUAAAGUUUUAUUGGAACAUGGCUAUGUCCUUCAUUUAUGUAUUGUCUGGGGCUGUUUUUCUGCCACAGUGUUGGAGUAGAGUUACUUGUGAGAGAAAUGUACGGCCUGCAAAAGCCUCAAAUAUACACUACCUGGCUUUUUACCACAAAUCCUUGUGGCUCCUGCUCUGAAUGUCAAGGGCAGCCUGUCCUAAGAGGCCACGGAUUUCAUUUUCAUCCGAUUGCAGGUGCGUGGGCAGUUACCAGCUGAAAACAAGCAGCUAGUAUGUAUUCUCAAUGCCCUCUCUAAGAGAGUUUUCCUUUGAUGCUCUAAUUCCACCGCACUAUUCCGGCGUAGUCAGAACUGAUUUUUCUGUGCCUUUCCACUCUCAUAUGUAAGAUGGUGUUACUUUCAUUUCUUUCCCGUCGUGGCGCAGUGGUUAACGAAUCCGACUAGGAACCAUGAGGUUGCGGGUUCAGUCCCUGCCCUUGCUCAGUAGAUUAACGAUCCGGCGUUGCCGUGAGCUGUGGUGUAGGUUGUAGACGCGGCUCGGAUCCUGCGUUGCUGUGGCUCUGGCGUAGGCCGGUUGCUACAGCUCCAAUUAGACCCCUAGCCUGGGAACCUCCAUAUGCCACGGAAGCGGCCCAAAGAAAUAGCAAAAAG